GUAAUUUCAGGAGAAAUCAUGCAUGGUUGUUUGAAUAGGGUUGAGAGAAACUGUUAUAUACUUUGCGGAGUUGUGAUAAAUGCAUACAGUCAUUCUUCACUUUUAUGAAAGACUUCAGCUGCUGGUAAUUCUGUGUGACCUCACAGGGCACAGGAGAGAUUCUGGGUCUCUCAAGGUCUGCAUGGGUCCACAAGGUGUGACCAGCAUCACUUCAGGACUUUGUCACUUGUCUCCUGUGGCCUCACGGCUAAGUCAUG
Molecule: long non-coding RNA, 257 nt
Filed under: Rhinopithecus bieti (black snub-nosed monkey)
Lineage: Eukaryota; Metazoa; Chordata; Mammalia; Primates; Cercopithecidae
Description: lncRNA (ENSRBIG00000045398.1)
Source: RNAcentral